CUGUAACGUAUAGUUGUCAAAGCAGUAUGAGAUUGAACUUUCAUGAAGAGAAAAGAUCUAUCACAGAAGUCGAUAUAUAGUAAUAUGAGUAGGUAGAUGAAAACAUAUGACCUGGGAUACUUGUGCUAUCCUAUAGAUAACUGACUCAUUAAGACCAUCGAUCCAAAAUGUUUAUGUCUAAGUUAUUGAUUAUAUAUCCAUCAAGUCCAAUCCGAUGGAUAAUUGACCCAUUAACAACCAUUGAUCCAAUAUAUCCACUUCCUAUUCAAGAUUAAACUUGGGGUACGCCCCUCUCCAUGUCUCAAUGCGAUUCUGACAUCAUAUGUCAUGAUCCGAUUUGACCCAUUAUCUUUGUUGAGUAUAGACCAAUGGCCCAAAAAUGCUCAAGGCUAAUGAUCAAUCAUGCCCUUACAUGUUUAUUCAAGUCUUAUCCUUUUCCGACGUGGGACUAAACGGCAGUGUUACAUCUCCAAGAAAAUGAAAAGCUCACAUAAGGAAACCCAGUUUUAACACAAGCACAAAUUUAAUUACCAACAUUGUCAAGUUCGAGAAGAUUCCAUGAAGAUGAAAGAUAAGACUGUGAUCAAGUAUCAACCUGAUGUCAACUCUCUUAAGCUAGUGACAAAUCCAAAUUUAGAUAGAAAGGAGUUUGUGCUAACAUCUACAAGGUUUGUUGGCUAUAGGAAGAUUUAGUUUAACUUAGUUCAUUCAUUAAAUAAAAAAAAAUCAAAAUUCACCUAAACCUGAAAAUAAAUUAAACAAAAAAAGUUGCAACAAUUAAAUAUCACCUACUUAACAGUCCAAAAUAUACUCAUCAUCUUAACAUGCAUUUUAUUUGGAGAACUCUAAUACUUGAAAACCUAUGGAUCUCAACCAUGGAUUGUAGAUAUGAGUUACUCCUCAACUGACAAGUGAAAAAAAAAAAAAACUGACAAGUGGAAUGAGAGUGGCUCAACAUGUGAGCUUUAAAAUGGAUAAUAAACAUAUAUUCAAUGACUAAGUUGAAAAAAGUAGCUUUCUAACAGUGUACAAAGUUUGAGUGAUGUUUAAAACUCACAAGAGUUUGCUCCAAUUUCAACCAAAAUUAUUGAUACGGAUUAAAAAGUUCAAU
RNAcentral lists this long non-coding RNA (1111 nucleotides) under Musa acuminata (dwarf banana). RNAcentral describes it as "long non-coding RNA (MACU_LNC002233)". The record is from RNAcentral. Lineage: Eukaryota; Viridiplantae; Streptophyta; Magnoliopsida; Zingiberales; Musaceae.